This is a non-coding RNA of Pangasianodon hypophthalmus (striped catfish), 1189 nucleotides long. NCBI's taxonomy places the organism in Eukaryota, Metazoa, Chordata, Actinopteri, Siluriformes, Pangasiidae. The record is from the annotation of a RefSeq genome assembly.
UGCUGAUAUACAUUCAGCUCAACAACAUACCAGCAGUUUGUGUUCAUUUACAGCAACAGUGAUCAUUUUAAUUCUUUGAGAUGGGACUAGGCAGAGUUUUGAGUUACUUUACUCUAACAAUCUUCAUUCAAUAUUCCUGCAGUCAGACACUGAUCCAGUCUGAUUCAGUCAUCAUCAAACCUGAUCAGUCUCAUAAACUGACCUGCACAGCAUCUGGAUUGGACUUUACUAGCUAUUACAUGGCUUGGAUCAGACAGGCUCCUGGAAAAGGACUGGAAUGGGUUGCAUCUAUCUCAGAUGGCAGUGUUAGCAAAUAUUACUCCAGUGCAGUUAAAGGCCGCUUCACCAUCUCCAGAGACGACAGUAAGCUGCAGGUGUAUCUGCACAUGAACAGCGUGAGGACAGAAGACACAGCUGUGUAUUACUGCGCCCGACACACACAGUGAUACUUCUCCUUAGACAUCAGUACAAAAACACAUGCUUGCUAUAGUCACAUGACAAGCUCACAUUUUCAUAAGCAGUGUAUUCAUGGAGCUAAAAGAACCAAAAUGUUUUGACUUUUACUGCAUGUGGCUUAUUGUGAACAUUGUCUGGACAUUUAUGCUGGUAUAAGAUUACUUAGGUCAGAGUCAGUUCUGAAUAUAUAUAUAUAUAUAUGGUACAGAGGGUAAUGUUGCCACCUCACAGCUUCAGGGCCCUCGGUUUGAUCCUGGUCAUACAAAAUGCUCCACAUUAUAAUUCUUACUUUUUUUACUUAGUACUUUAGCUCUAUUUGAGUUUUUUUUAACAAGUUGCUUUAAAAUCACUUCAUUUAGAUCUGAGUAUUUUGAAAACUGGACCUUUGUGCCUCUAGAGGGCAGUCUGUGACCAGCACCAUGACUCUCAGAUUAAACUCCAGGAAGAUAAUUGCUUGUUGUUGCUUAUAUCAUUACUUUUGCAGAGUCUUGUGAGACAAAAUGUUAUUAAAUAAAUGCAAUGCUAUUCCUUUUAUCUUCAUUCUACAUUUAUUCUUUGUCCAAUCAGAAUGAGUCAGAGAUGAUGUGUGGUCUACAUUAUUUCUGUAACCAUAUUAAUUAAUCAAAAAACAUUAAUGUCUUUCUGUAUAGUUCUGUGCUAUAGAAGCAGAUAUGGUAAUGGGGCAAAAUAGCUCUUAAAGGCUUAAUUGUAAAACACAGCUCGAGUCUUGCAA